RNAcentral lists this ribosomal RNA (497 nucleotides) under uncultured bacterium. Its description in RNAcentral is "partial 16S ribosomal RNA". It matches the Rfam family "Bacterial small subunit ribosomal RNA", at positions 899 to 1397 of the family's 1533-position model. The record is from RNAcentral.
ACUCAAAGGAAUUGACGGGGGCCCGCACAAGCGGCGGAGCAUGCGGAUUAAUUCGAUGCAACGCGAAGAACCUUACCAAGGCUUGACAUAUACCGGUAACCUGCAGAAAUGUGGGCCCCGCAAGGUCGGUAUACAGGUGGUGCAUGGUUGUCGUCAGCUCGUGUCGUGAGAUGUUGGGUUAAGUCCCGCAACGAGCGCAACCCUCGUUCUAUGUUGCCAGCACGUUAUGGUGGGAACUCAUAGGAGACUGCCGGGGUCAACUCGGAGGAAGGUGGGGAUGACGUCAAAUCAUCAUGCCCCUUAUGUCUUGGGCUUCACGCAUGCUACAAUGGCCGGUACAAAGGGCUGCAAUACCGUAAGGUGGAGCGAAUCCCAAAAAGCCGGUCUCAGUUCGGAUUGAGGUCUGCAACUCGACCUCAUGAAGUCGGAGUCGCUAGUAAUCGCAGAUCAGCAACGCUGCGGUGAAUACGUUCCCGGGCCUUGUACACACCGCCCGU